CCUCCCUCACUUAUGUCGCACUUUCUCUUUCACCUUUUUCCCUCAGUUCUUUCUUAUUUGCCCCAUCUCCUCUGUUGAUCUCUUGUUUGUCUCUUGUACAUCUCUGAGGUGCUGCUCUUUCUUGGCAGUAUGGGCAGGCUUCAGGAGCUGUGCCUCUUCUGUUUCUCCUCAGUCCUCUUGGGUGAUCUUGGUUCAGUUCAACUAAGCUGCUUACAUGCCUUUCUCCUUUACUCGGGUACAGCCAGCACUGUAGAGAGAGUGUGGCUUGCAUUGCUCAAAUGAUAAUAGAGUGUAGGAGGAUGAAGAUUAUAAGGAAUUUGAGCAGAUGCUGUUUUUGUUUAUGAAAUCCCUUACUUCUAUUCUUCACCAGAUAUUUUAUGUCAUGAUAAAAAUCUUGUGAAUCCAGCAAUUAAAGAGUUAACCUGCCCCUGACCUAGACACAAACAGGAUUAGUGGGUCUGUGAAUUUUCAGUAGCCAACUCCCAGGCAAGUAUAUCUGGAACUGGACUGAAUGGCGUCUGUGCUGGAUAGUGUGUGUGUGUGUGUGUGUCUGUGUGUGUGUGUGUGUGUGUACACCUCCCCCUGGCCCCUACUCCACUCCUCCUCCCAAUUCUGUGGUUAGCCCUGCCCCUGUUCAUCACAUGACUUCUCUGAAAGGCCCCCUCCUGCUGCCUUCCCCCAUGUUUCCAGUAAAUUGCUUGAAAGGAGGGGGUGAGUCAGACCAGCUUCCCUUUAACCACAGCUUGUUAAAGAAUUUGUCAACGUGGACUCCAGGGCACACAUGACCCCUCCCCUUUCCUCUUUGCAAAAGAUUUGAAUGUUUUGCUCCUUUCUUUGGAACGGUCUUUAGAUCGGAUUACGUCAGGUACCCAUAAUCACUCUACUUCCUGUGACACACUGUAAAAAGGGUAGGCAUGAAGCAUAGAGAGAGGGGAGGGGUAAUGAGAGAAAUAAAAAAGUGUGUGUGUGUGUUUUGUGGGGGGGCACUAGAGCAUGCAUCUGACUAAUCCAGAAUUAAAUGAGUUAAACAAGUUGAUUGAGUGUUUAGUCAAUUCUAUCUUUUGUCUAUAUGUGUAAGUUUUGGCAUCUUUCUAUCUAUGGCAGCCUGUUGCAAACUCACUCUUCUGCACUGCUGGGUACAACAGCUUUUGUUCAAAAACCAUUUCUUGAAACCUGAGGAGGUCUUCUGUGGUUGUGGCCCAUCUUCCUGAAGAUUAGAUGUGUUUCAAUGCCAUAACCUGAUAAUCAGGAAACAACUGGAUGCACUAGAACACUGGAAAGCUUCACACUUGAACAAAUGAUUCAUAAUGGGCCUCACUUUAACACAAUGACUCAAGUGAUUUGGUGAACGAGAGAUGCACAUGAAUCACUUACCCAUGGAGAACAGAUCAGGUUCACCAUACAUGCAAUUUAAUAAUACAAGCAAAAAAAAAUAAGAUAAACUGAAUAUAUAACAUAAUAAUGGAAUGAUUAAUUUAAACAGUGACAUGUUGAAUGGAAUUAUAAUUGUGAAGCCAGUCAGCAACAUCUGAACAAAAGAAAUGACUCAAUGCAUAUCAGUGCCUAAAAACAAUCCAUUUAUAUUAGUGACACAUCAAAAAAAACAGAAUUAUUUAGUAAUGAGAUAAGUCUAAUUCCUUUUUUUGUAGGCAAACACAGAUAAUAUUCAUAGAGGACAAUCUUAUUUGAUACGGUCAUGGCUGUUUGCUUUGGGGAAAAAGUAAUGAGAGAAAAAUAAGAGAUUUCAAACUUAUUAAAGUCACACUAGUCCACUGCCCUCUGAAAUUUCAGUCUAAACUUCAAUGACUAGUUAAGGUUUAGAUGGAAUAAAAGUUAACUCUAAUCUUGGUUUAUGUAGAGCAACAAUAGAAAACAUAGGAGCUUGUAUACAGCCAUUUACAUAUAAACUAUGGGUUAAGAAUCCAAUAAUUAUCAUUUAUCUAUGAAUAAAGUCCAUGUACAUUUUGGACUUCAAAAACAAAUAUAAUCUUUACUUGACAAGAGUAAAACUGAGAAAGUGUUUUGUAAUAUUACAUUUCAGAUGUUUUGUGGAAGAACUCAAAACGCAUUAAUUUCAUUAAAUUUACAGUUUAAUUUGCCAAUAAGUUGUCAAAUGAUUUUGUACAUAAUUCUGAUUAAUGUUGGAUGGUCUUACAGAUAGUCACCAGGACAAUCAGGACCUCAGAAUCCGUGUGAAAAAAAAAAUUAAAAAUUAAAAUAGCCGAGCAAUGGCAAGUAAUGGUGGGAAAUUCCGACACCAGUGAACUUAAAGUACACAGAGAGUAAAUUUAACAUUUCAUGAUAAAGAUUAGUAGAGUUAUUCUGCUUUCUCCUUAACUCAUUUGUUCAUCUUCAAUAACCUCCUCCUUCUUAGAAUAGACAAAGACCUAUUUUUCUGUUUAAACUUAUCUAAAAGAAAUAAUGGUGUGUGUGUGUGUGUGUGUGUGUGUGUAUUUGUGAGGACCAAAAAUAACAAAUGUCCUCACAAUCAUCUAAAAUAAAAAAUAGUAUUUUCACUACUUGAUUUCUUUUGAUUGAUUUUUGAGUGUAAAGGUAAAGAAAAAAAUUAAGGGGCUAGUUAUGGAACAGUUAUGAUAGUCAAUAAUUAUUUGAAAUGAUCUUGUCAGUAAUUGAACAAAUUAAAUUUUCAAACAAAUGAAAGGUCAAAUGAACAAUAGAAUGUACAAAGUUAAGUCAGUAACAUUACAUUACAGCACUACUGAAAGUUUUUAAAUGCCCAGGCUAUUGUUUGAGUUGUUUGUUACUCUCUUGGCAAGCUUGGAUUGAUUGUCUUAUUGUAUGGGCUGAGAUGGCAGCCCGAAGCAAGAGUACUGUGCAAAAAUCUUAGAUACCCUUUAUAUUUUUAAAUACAUAUUUUUAUGUAUUACGUGCCUAUUUCAUGACUUAAGUCAUUUAAAAAUAGUUCCAAACAUUACUUUUCCAACAAAAUGUGAACUGUAGAUAAAAUAAAUUUGUAUAUCAUUACAAAAAAUACUAUGGCAGGUUCUCCAAGAUGCUUAGAAAAAAUGUAUCAGUCAGAAUUCUCAUAAAAUGUACCUGUACAUGGGAGUAUAUGCAUUUUUAUAGGUCUGGGCUGUCAUGGCAAAUAUUGACUAUGUUUAUUUUAGUGCAGAUUACUACUCUUUAUUGUUGGUUUUUUAAUGCGAAAAUUGUUUCAUUUCAUUAUUUUUAAAGGCAUCUUUGCAUUACAGCAUUUAUUUAUGUGACUUGGACUUGCACACUACAGUGUGUAGCAAAUAAAUGGCACAUACAUGUAUGCACUCACCUUUAUAUUAUAUAGUCUUUUAUGUCCAGAGGGUAGUACACACAUUAUUAUAACAUUACUAAGACAAAGAAAUCAUAGAUCACCCUCUCCGGCUUCCACAGAAGACAUUCUCUGAAAAGUAAUGAUUGGGGGUGGGGUGGUAUGCCUAGGAAGAACACAAGACAGGAAAGACACAUCCUGAUGACUGGCAAUCCUUUUUCAGUGGGAACUGUUGCCAUGUUUUUUCCAGGGCCUUUUGGCUGAGGCUUAUCAGAAUUUCAGGGAGAUACGGUACAAUGUAUUCUUGUGAUAGGUCAAUCUACAAAACAGCAAAUAAAUGACCAUCAUGAUUUCCACACUUAUAUAGUGCAUAUGAUUUUGUGCACUUAUGAAUUUGGCUAUCAAAAGGAGUAUAUUAUUUCUGUGAUCUAUCUAUAUCAUUAGUGUGAUUGGGUAUACAACAACAGGACAGUUUUCUUACUUAUUUUUCUUAUUUUCUCUUAUUUUGAUGUGUUGUGUGAGAGGGAGAUUAACACUUUAGGGAUCUAAAUCCAUAAAUAGAUUUAUGUAAAGCUGCUGGGAUAAUGUCCAUUGUUGACAACCCUCUCUGUCUCAGUCUGUGAAAUCUGAUAUCAAGGAAGUGGAUAGUGUGGUAGAGAAGCAUUAACAUUAACUGGUCUAUAGUUUAAUAUAUUAUAUUAUUUAUAUAAUAUAUUAAUUAAUUAACAAAUCAUAAUUUUGGAUUAUUAAAAUGUUUUUGUUGACCAUGGAUGUUUUUAUUUAAACAGGGAAAAGCUUCAUGGAAGGUUCACCUAACAACCAAGCUUGAUUAGGUUCUGCAAAUCAGUUAUAUACACCAUUAAGCUCACCUUUGACUAGAGUACUCUUCUUUAUUUUAUAUAGUCACUAUUUUCUGCAAUAUUUUAUCAUCUAGCCAGUUUGUGGGUCCUGAUGGCUUCCCAAGCCUUAUUCAAGAUGCAUGUGCUUCUGUGUAUGUAUCAACAGAAAGCAAGCUUAAAUGCAAAUUUUUAAAUGUAUCAUAAAAUGUAUUUUUUGUUUAAUGUUUCUUGCAGCUUCAGUUUCUCUCCUUUCACAUUGUCAUCUUCUGGGAUGAGUUUUUUGAUGAGGUUGUAUCAGCAUUUAUAAUCUUGAAUCUACAACAGAUCAUUCAAUAAAGGAAAUUGAGAUGAAGCUAAUUUAUUAUAAAAUUUUCCUCAUAUGCAUUGGCGGACUUAACCAAUAAACGAGGUAAGCAGCCGCUUAGGGCUUAGCAGCCCUUAGGGGCCCCCAACCAAUACCAAGAAGCCUAUAUAAAUCAUAUAGUACUUAUUACUUUUCUAUCAUAUAUUGUAUGGUCUGUCUAUAACCAUUAAGAUUUUAAUGUCAUUAUUACAUCUUUUCAAAUGCGCCCCCCCCCCCAUUAUUCAUGAAUAGUGGAAAGUUCCUACCGUACUGCACAUGCGCGAGAUUCCCAUACCUGGAAUCGCUUAGGGCCCUUAAAUCACUAAGUCCGCCCCUGCUCAUGUGUCUAUAUUCAUUUCACACACAAAUGGUCUUAAACACAAUGUUGCUUCUGCACAGACAUUAUGACAUAGCCCAUGGCUUCAAUCAAUACACAGUAUACACAAUGGCCCUUACACACUUUUUUUUCUCUCAACUUACUGACAUAAUUUAAAGUUCUCUUUUACACACUGCACAUCAUACUUGUAACAUCCUCACCUAGAGUGUGUGCCAAUACCUCAGGACAUGUAUCUGUUUAAUUUCCUGUACUCCCAUCAGAUCAUGAAUAUUCAUGUGGUACAGUGUGUGUGUACUCUAUGUAUUUGUACCCUGAGUCGAUUUUAUUAACUAUAUUAUUAUUAAAAUACAUAUAUAAAUUUCAUAA
This is a long non-coding RNA of Hemibagrus wyckioides, 5150 nucleotides long. RefSeq lists it as uncharacterized. The record is from RefSeq and is a predicted model, not a curated record. Lineage: Eukaryota; Metazoa; Chordata; Actinopteri; Siluriformes; Bagridae. The transcript has 5 exons.